UCACUUCCCAGAGAUACCAGUCACAUUGCUCAUUUCAGUACAAUAGGCAAAUAAGCAUUAAGCAGUAGGAAAGUCAGGUUCUGAAUUUCUAGCAGCACUAAGCAGGCAGAAAUCCUGGAUUCCGUGUAAAUCUGACUUACAGUCAAAAGAAAUCUCAAGGGGUGUUUAGUAGACAAGGUACUUGUGAUCACAUGAAGAGCCUGCUGAACAGUUCUGUCCAGCGGGCCAGGUGGCAAACUUCCUGGAGUCCAGCUGUACCCUUUAAGAUGUGUUUCUUGGGAAAUUAGUUCUCUUACCUCUUGUAAU
RNAcentral lists this long non-coding RNA (306 nucleotides) under Bos taurus (domestic cattle). RNAcentral describes it as "long non-coding RNA NONBTAT019543". The record is from RNAcentral. Lineage: Eukaryota; Metazoa; Chordata; Mammalia; Artiodactyla; Bovidae.